This 397-nucleotide ribosomal RNA is filed under the name uncultured bacterium. Its description in RNAcentral is "partial 16S ribosomal RNA". It matches the Rfam family "Bacterial small subunit ribosomal RNA", at positions 523 to 918 of the family's 1533-position model. The record is from RNAcentral.
AUACGUAGGUGGCAAGCGUUGUCCGGAAUUAUUGGGCGUAAAGCGCGCGCAGGUGGUUCCUUAAGUCUGAUGUGAAAGCCCCCGGCUCAACCGGGGAGGGUCAUUGGAAACUGGGGAACUUGAGUGCAGAAGAGGAUAGUGGAAUUCCAAGUGUAGCGGUGAAAUGCGUAGAGAUUUGGAGGAACACCAGUGGCGAAGGCGACUGUCUGGGCUGUAACUGACACUGAGGCGCGAAAGCGUGGGGAGCAAACAGGAUUAGAUACCCUGGUAGUCCACGCCGUAAACGAUGAGUGCUAAGUGUUGGGGGGUUUCCGCCCCUCAGUGCUGCAGCUAACGCAUUAAGCACUCCGCCUGGGGAGUACGGUCGCAAGACUGAAACUCAAAUGAAUUGACGGGG